AGAGAGAGACAUGCGCGCAUAUCAAUAAGCGGAGGAAAAGAAACUAACAAGGAUUCCCUUAGUAACGGCGAGUGAAGCGGGAAGAGCUCAAAUUUGAAAUCUUCAAGGCUUUACCUUAACGAAUUGUAGUUUAAAGAAGUGUUUUCUGCUGAAGUUUUGGUAAAAGUUCUUUGGAAUAGGACAUCAUAGAGGGUGAGAAUCCCGUAUUUGACCAUUAUUUUCAGCUUUGUGAUACACUUUCAAAGAGUCGGAUUGUUUGGGAAUGCAGUCCAAAAUGGGUGGUAAAUUUCAUCUAAAGCUAAAUAUUGGCGAGAGACCGAUAGCGAACAAGUACCGUGAGGGAAAGAUGAAAAGAACUUUGAAAAGAGAGUUAAACAGUACGUGAAAUUGUCAAAAGGGAAGCGUUUGACACCAGUGUUGUUUUCUCGAAAAUCAAUUAAAAAUGGCUCGAUUUUGUAUUGCUGAGACCUUAAAAGCUCACUGUACAUUUUUCGUGUCUUUUUUAAUGCACUUUUCGUUUAACAAGUCAACAUCAGUUUCUUUUGUUGUAAAAGGGUCAUUGGAAGGUGGCUUUCUUUUCGGAGAAAGUGUUUAUAGCCUUUGGCCUCUGCAAUCGAAGAGACUGAGGUCUGCAGCGUAGACUCUUCGGGGUUAGAUACAUUUGUGCUAAGUUAUAGCCUUUUCAUAGACAACUUGUUGACUAUAAUCAGUCAUGUAGCUUACUCGCUUAUGCUAUUUUACCUACGCUUAGGAUGUUGAAGAUGUAGCACAUCAU
Molecule: ribosomal RNA, 775 nt
Filed under: uncultured Neocallimastigales
Lineage: Eukaryota; Fungi; Neocallimastigomycota; Neocallimastigomycetes; Neocallimastigales
Description: partial large subunit ribosomal RNA
Rfam family: Eukaryotic large subunit ribosomal RNA
Source: RNAcentral